AAUAGAUACCCAGGUAGUCCACGCCGUAAACGAUGAGUGCUAAGUGUUAGGGGGUUUCCGCCCCUUAGUGCUGCAGCUAACGCAUUAAGCACUCCGCCUGGGGAGUACGGUCGCAAGACUGAAACUCAAAGGAAUUGACGGGGGCCCGCACAAGCGGUGGAGCAUGUGGUUUAAUUCGAAGCAACGCGAAGAACCUUACCAGGUCUUGACAUCCCAUUGACCACUAUGGAGACAUAGUUUUCCCUUCGGGGACAACGGUGACAGGUGGUGCAUGGUUGUCGUCAGCUCGUGUCGUGAGAUGUUGGGUUAAGUCCCGCAACGAGCGCAACCCUUGUUCUUAGUUGCCAUCAUUUAGUUGGGCACUCUAAGGAGACUGCCGGUGACAAACCGGAGGAAGGUGGGGAUGACGUCAAAUCAUCAUGCCCCUUAUGACCUGGGCUACACACGUGCUACAAUGGACGGUACAAACGGUUGCCAACCCGCGAGGGGGAGCUAAUCCGAUAAAACCGUUCUCAGUUCGGAUUGUAGGCUGCAACUCGCCUACA
This 545-nucleotide ribosomal RNA is filed under the name uncultured bacterium. RNAcentral's name for it is "bacterial SSU rRNA". It matches the Rfam family "Bacterial small subunit ribosomal RNA", at positions 777 to 1320 of the family's 1533-position model. The record is from RNAcentral.